UACAAUAGGCCAGAAGUUGCUCCAGUACAAGGGACUUAAUCCCACCCCACUAGCAUUAAAAAAAAACAAUCAGUGCUCACCACAGCAUCUCCAGUGCCCAUUGGUUAGCACACUGCUUAGCAGGAAAAGUAUAAAGAUAUGGAUGUCUGACACACUAACAUCAGUCACAACUACACUAGCAUCAAGAGAACGCUGCAACAGCAAGUGUACUAGUGGCAACACCGCAGCCAACUCUGCCAGCGCUCUUCAGGCCAUCCAGCCAGCCAGUCUUGCCACCACCAUUAGCAUUAGCUAGUCUGCUACUGCAAGAGCUUUGUCUGGCAUCCUGCUGGCUCACGAGCACUGAGCUGCCACACAAGGAAGAACUCCGAUGCUAGUGCUGACUAGUCUGCUUUGACAAGAGCUUCACCUGGCAUCCAACAGGUGAGCUGACUCACAGUCACCAAGCUGCUGCAAGGAAGAACACCAACACUAGUGCUGGCUAGUCCGCUGCUAUGAGAGCUUCGCCUGGCAUCUGGCAGGCGCACCUGACUCCUGACAAACGGUCCUUUUCAGGGACAGCAAUAUCACUGCCAUCGCUAGUGCAGACUAGCCUGCUACAAAGGGAGUUUUCACUGGUAUUCAUCAGGCAUGCCCUGCUUCCCUGGUCAUCUGUAAUAUUCAUUCUAACAGCAAUAAACAUUUGUUAUAAGUUUACAUGGUUGUCUCUUCGAGCAUUGACAUCCCAUAGUAUCCUGUCUUCGGCAAUCCUGUCCUCAUGUGUCAGUGUUAUGUGCAGAUGGCUGGUGGCAUGGUUACUAUGUCUAGUGGGUAAAGAAGUGUUUUCUUUACAGCUGUGGCCUACAAAAUUGGUGUACUCCACUUAUAACACAUAUUGAAUCGGUGGAUGACUAGGUUUCACAUUAUGGACUUUUGAGGUAGAAAUACAUUUUCAAGACCAUAUCAUGCUGUAACGUGGGGUCAUUCUGUAUAUACACUGUACAUAGUUUUCUUUCUUAGAGACACGCUGUAUUUACACAACAUGCUCUUGCAUGUACACUGUUUGUUUUAUGGAUGUUGCUUAAUUAUAAGAAAGUUCAGCUUGUUCAACAUCAGAAGUUAUGAACCAGGAAUCCAUGGAAGCCACCAUUAAUGGCACCUUCUGCUUCCAUACUCUUCAAGUAGCCCUAAACCUUAAUUUACACUCAUUAGCUAUCCUGAAUCAUAUUUGAUAUCGGUAAUAAAUAAGUAAUAUUUCUAAUGUAAAUUUAUAUUUAAUAUCAACUUUAUAUGUUAAGCUAUCUUUUUAUGUUAUUACAAUAUUGUGUCACUUUUAUUGUAUCUGUAUUCUUUCCCAUUUCAGGUAACCUGUUCUAGGAAAUUGUUACCAAUAUUCCUGUGUGUGUAUGAGAAUUAUCUCUAGAUGUCAGCAACUUAUGUGGUAUACUAAACCAUAUAUAGAGUGUAACUCCCAUAUAAUGUUUUCUCCCAUUUAUUAGAUAUCAGUGAUCCAAAAUCAAUAAUCUCAGUUUUAAAUUUUUGUCAUUCAAGAUUUUCUAUGGUUUAGUGUUAGAUCCACUGCUUCCGUAAAGUGAUUCAGGGGUUUGCUAUAGUAUCACAGUACAACACACAGAUGGCAGCAGAAUCACUUUGGACAGUCCUUUGUGUUUUUGCUGCAGAAGGCUGAAUGGACAUUGCCUAGACCUGUUUUGUAUUUACAAUUUUUUUUCCCCCACAAUAAAAAAAAGUAUGCAUUUAGUGACUGGCAAGUAGCAUGAGGGCUUAUAGGUUCUGUUCUAGGUACAAAUGUUUCAAAUAACCAUGAAAUAUCACACACAAGUUAUAGAACUAGAAGUCUUCCAUAACACCAAUUCUUGAAUUUGUGGAAAAUCAUUAAUUUAUGCAUUUUCCAGGAACAAAACUGUUGUGUGAAUUGGGGUAUACCUGUAUACAGUGGAACCUCAAUUUGGUGGCCCUUGAUUUAAGGCUUUCCCUCAAUUAACCUUUUAGUUUCAGUAUUCCCAACUCAAUAAUCUCUGUUUUAAAUUGCCUCAGAUUAGUGAUCAAACCUACUGAUCACAGAAGAAAUCUAAAUAGGGGUUUUCUGCAUCUCAUUCUGAAAUCUGAACUAGACGUGCUGAAUGUGAUUCAGGAAAAUUGUCUUUGAGGGUGAAUACACACUUUGAUCUGAGUCUACAUAUAUCUGACAUUAAUGUGUUAUGUUAAAUAUUGUUAUUUUGGACUCUGCACACUGUCUUGUGUAUUUUCAAGUACAAUACUGUGGAAACUGGAUCUAUUUCUGACAUCAGGUAGACCAGUUAUUGAGAUGAGCUCAUUCUAACAGGCUGAACAGAGUAGGAACUUUUAUUCUUUGCACUGAUGAUGGAAACCAUUUCUGAAGCAUUGUGUUUGAAGGAAAGCAAGGCUAUGGAUAGUGUCCAAAAUAAUAUGGUGAGCUCUUGAUUAUCCACAGUAAUGGAAAGGAGAAGUAGCAUAGGUAACUAAAAGCAAUAGGUAACCCAAAAAUGGGGAAAUUAAGUAUGUACUAUCCAUGCUGCAUUUGACCCCAAAAAUUAGUUUAUUUGUCAUGCUGCUGAUCAGUAAACAGUGUGAUAAAGCUGCAACAGAAUAUGAAUAUUUAGUCUACUAGAAAUUAUUGUCAAACAUCACUGAUGCUUACUACUGAAACAGAUGUAAUGGACAAUGCUUAAAUCAUUACAGGAGGCAAUAAUCAGUGGCUAGGCAGUUAUAAAAAUUCCCCCAAUUAAUCUUCACAGUGGGUAAUGGAGAGUCUACUGAAAUCAUGUUCACCAUAACAGUUCGAUCUGUACAAAAAUGUGAAUUGAUGUUCCAAUCUUGGUCACUAGUAAAAAAAGGUGUGUGGUCCUGUUAUACUCUGAACAGAGUACGCUGAUAUUGCACUGGAAACCCUCCAUAAUCAUUGAUGUUGACAAGAGUUCAAGUACAAUAAGAAGUUCAAAGCACCCAAGCAUUUCAUACCAGAUCACAUGUGGCAAAAAUUACAUUUGCCAUCUUCAGGAUCAAUUUGUGGGUAGAGGUCAGAUAUCCAUAUAUUCAUCUGUCAGUGAGUGGAGACGGAGGUAAAGGUAUGGUUGGAUGAAACAGGAGUAGGGUGCUGUUCAAUAACGAAUAACCCCAUGGUUCAGAAUCAGUGAUGAAAAUAGUCUUGUGAAACACAUGAUUAGGAAAAGGGGAUAUGACAAAAGUUCAAGGAGUGUUCAAAAAAUUAAAAGUAACCAGGCAGUUAGGAAAUGAUAUCAGAAAUUCUGGUACUCAUGUGAUUAGAAGAGGUCAUGAAAUUUCCCCUCUCCUAACCUCUUUUCUUGAUCACCUUCUCUCUAAAAACUUUUUCAUAGCCUCUUUUCCUUAGCCAUGUGGUCACUCCAUGUUGGGUAGCAUGCCCCUGUACUCUGUUUUGUCCAGUAAGGGGCUUCACCUCCCCACUCACUGACUGUCUAUAUAAGCAUGAGUGUUUCUGAAUCCCUGCUCCCCAAAAACAUUAAUCCUGAAAAUGUCAGUGGCAGUGUUUGCUGAAACAAAAAACCUUUAAUAUUCCAUGCAGCUAAUUAUUGAAAGCUGAUGUUGUACAUUAGUUUCUUAUGUUGUUAUUUCAACUUGACAGCAUGCUAUGUAUCGGAGUGCAAUACCAUCACAUGGUGCAGUGCUUCUCAACUGAGCAAUGUAAUGAGUGGUUCUGUGCAGUGAUUACCAGAUGGUGCUAAAUUUGUAUGUUAAUGUGUUGUAGAUAUAUAAAUAUACUUUUUCAUGGUACAUACAUUCAUUGUAAAUAAACUCUGCACCCUU
Cryptotermes secundus is the source of this 3804-nucleotide long non-coding RNA. RefSeq lists it as uncharacterized. The transcript is spliced from 2 exons. The record is from RefSeq and is a predicted model, not a curated record. Lineage: Eukaryota; Metazoa; Arthropoda; Insecta; Blattodea; Kalotermitidae.